This is a non-coding RNA of Phascolarctos cinereus (koala), 257 nucleotides long. The record is from RefSeq and is a predicted model, not a curated record. Lineage: Eukaryota; Metazoa; Chordata; Mammalia; Diprotodontia; Phascolarctidae.
ACUGGUGAUUGAUAUGCGGCUGCAUACCAGAACGAGAGCUCGUGAUGACUGAAUUGGAGAAAAUGCCCCACAUAUUCAGAGCACCAAAUAAGGUAAGAGAACAAAAGAAAGAUGGAGCAGAGGAAAGAGAUCCUAUGGAGGACAACUACCAUAAAGAAAAAACAAAAGACUGACUCGAAAAGAGCUGACAACGUCCCCAAAAGACAGUGUCUAACUGAAGAAGAGGAAAGGACUCAAGAAGACCUGAAAGGAAUGAU